AAGACUGUACUUUCAAGGGUCAUUUCUGUAGUCUGUUACGAGACAAAUUUCUCUCAAUGCACAGAGCACAAAGUUAAGAGGUGAAGAGUAAAAACCAGAAAGGUAGGGAUGAUCCCCGUUCUCCCUGACUCUGA
Small nucleolar RNA from Panthera leo (lion), 134 nucleotides. Its record names the gene U3. It matches the Rfam family "Small nucleolar RNA U3". From Rfam's summary of the family: Small nucleolar RNAs (snoRNAs) are involved in the processing and modification of rRNA in the nucleolus. There are two main classes of snoRNAs: the box C/D class, and the box H/ACA class. NCBI's taxonomy places the organism in Eukaryota, Metazoa, Chordata, Mammalia, Carnivora, Felidae. The record is from Ensembl.